GCUCCUCCCUCUCCCUUCCACUCUGCGCUGGGGAGGGGGCCCGGGGAAGACGUGGCUUCAGCCUUACCCCGGAGGAUGAGAGGGCUUGGGCUGGGUGGAGGCGGAUGAGGGGAAGCACGGAGAUGCUCCUUCCCUCUCACUGGGGAUGCAGCAGCAGGUGGCGGCGACGUGGCCCGUGGAGGCCUGGCGCCCACAGGCGCGGAGAUGGACCCGGUCCAGGCAGGAGCGCGGUGAAGGUGGCUGUGGGCGCGUGGAUGUGUAAGACACGCUCCCACCCACGUGGUGUACAGGGGGACCUGAGGACGCGGGUGAAGGAGAAGCCACCUCCUUCCUCUGGUCUCCCUCCCUCCUUCCUGGACAUUUUGCUCCUGCGUUGUCUCUUCAUCAUGGAAGCAAAGGUCGCUAGACUCCCUGCUCUGAGCUCCUCCUACCUUCUCCAGAACUGGAGGAUGGCCAGGUGGUUGGGGGGCAGCUGUGUCCUCGUGAUCAAACCAACCCCCCCCCACGCCCCCGUGGCAGCGCCUCCCCGCGCCACCCCUUUGUCCGGUUGCCCACCUUGGGGACCCUAUCACCUGCCUUGGGCGCCUUCCUGUUUCUGGAUUUGGGACUUCUCAGACCGGGGUUCAAAUCUGGGCCCCUCCAGUUUCCUGCAGUAUGUUCCCUAAGGUACCCAUCUCCAGUAAAAUGGAGUGUUUGUCCCCUAAAGCUUGUGGCUAAGUCCUAGUACAUAAGGUGCUCUAUCAGUGUGAAUGUGUACUUGCUAUAAGGUGUGCAGCCUGUCUCCUGCUCCUCUGAGACCUCACCAAUAGACACCCCAAAGCCCAGGAAAGUGGGGAAAGGGUCGUGAAAUGCCCUCGUAGCAGACAGGGAACAUUGCUUUUCAAGAUGAGGGAGGUGACUUGCUGGAGUCCACUGGGUGCCUCAAAGCAGAGCUGGGCCCAGAACCCAGGCACCCUGGUUCCCAGGCUCCCACACCCCACUGUGGCCCCCUCUUCCACAGCUGGGUGCAGGGAGUCUCGCUUCCCCACUCCUCAGAGGCCCUCCCAUUCUUGCUACAGGAUAGGAACCACCUGCUGCCUCACCCACAGGACCCAGCCCACGCCCCUUCCUGAUGCUUCUGCCCUCUUCCUCUCUGGAAUGGUGUAGGGAGGAGAGGCAGAAGACGAAGACGGACCCUGCAGAGGGGGGAUCCUGCCUGCCCAGGAAUGCCCCUCACUCUCCACAGGGCGGAUCCCCUCCCUAAGGGGCUUUGAGCAACAUCAGGGCCUGAGCUGGUUUUGUUGGCCCAGUUUCAGGAUACUUCCUCUUAUUAUGAUGAUGAUGAUGAUGGAGAUGUCAAUAACUCUCGUAGAAAAACCCUGCAAACCCACCCAAACAGAAACCUGUAUCUUAAGACACAGUGGCCCAAAGGCAGCACUUUACUGGGAAAAAUACUUCGCGUCCCAGCCCAUAUGCAACAGUUGAGAUGCAGCAUUUCCCAGUGAACUUGGGGGAAACACCUCUAAAUUUCCCCACCAGUUUUUAUGAUUGGCAGCAGGUCCACAGAAACUCCAGAAGACCUGUUUCCUGGGGCUGUAUUGGCAGCCGACCCUUUUUCAGCCCAGACUUCCCAAAACGCAGACAUCUAACUUGGUCAGGGAACCCAGUGCCUACAGCAAAGGAAAGCUCCGAGCUUGUAAUCCAUGCAUAACCAGUAUCUGGGCCCCACUAUUCCAGGAAACAGGGCAGCCUCUGGGGAAACAUGAGUUGAUGGCACAGGCAUCUCAUUCAUGGUUCACAAAGAUUUGAAGAAUGUUGGCCUGUGCUGUAGCCAAAGCCAGCAUGUUCACCUUUACAGUGUGUGUAUGGGGCCGGACAGGAAGCCGCAGGGUGCCCAUUUCCAGUGGAGGAGCAUCUCCCCAAGUUUCUAAGGAGCAUUCACUCAAGUCAGGCACCGUGCUGGGCACAGGGAUGCAAAGAUGGAUUUGAUAAGCCCUCUGUCCUCUGGGUCCUCCUGCAUUUAUAGAGGGCCUAGCCCAGGCCAGGUACUCCAGUUACUAAGGGCUUCAUCUGCGGGAGCUUGUUUUAACGUCACCAAAGCCUGUAAGGCAUUACCAAGUGCUACUCUUGGAAGCAUAAGGAAAGCGACUACAUCUGUCUGCAGGGACUGCAGCUGGCUACACAGAGGAGAUGGCAUUUGAGUUGGGUCUCCAGGCAUGAUGUUUUGCAGUUUUCCAAGCCUUUGGCACCCCAUAUUUCACUGGCCCUUGUCACAUACAUGAGAGUUUGGUCGGGAUGAUUCCUCAGCCUCAAAGCUGAUAGCUGGCAGACCCCACGACUUGAACCUGGGGCUUCCUCCUGGGUCGUCUCGUCCUGAUAAGUCUGGAUAAUUUUGUAUGGCUCUUUAUGGUUUGCCAAGGACGUCCGCCUCCCUGAGUCCACUUCUCCUGACUGUGUCAGCAUCUCCAGCUUCAAAGAAAGAAAAUGCCAGGCCAGGAAGGGGCAACACCUACCCGGCAGAGCCUCUGGUCUGCAGGGGGCCUGGAGGGUGGCUCAUGGGGCUCAUCCAGACAGGCUGGGCCUCCGGGGUGAGCAGCAGUUUGAACCAGGUGUGUUCGUGCUAACAGGACGGCCCAGGUAAGGAGAGGGCUUGUGUGGGGGUGACAUAAAGGACAGGUAAAAGGAAGAGGACUCAAACACUGCUUUCUGUGGGAAAGGGGGCUUUAGGGUCUGAAAUCUUCCUUUGUGACACCCAUAUUAAAGUGGUUAUCAGAAUAAAAUGACCCAACCAACCAAGCUCAGGAAGCAGGAAGAGACUUGGACUCAAGACAACUGAGGAGAGAUGAGAAAAGAAAACAGGUCCCUGAAAGAGGGGGUCAUCAACUUCAAACAUCUGGAGGGUUUUCUGACAGGAGAGGGUUUGACAAGCUUUGAUGUGUGGCCCCAAAGGGUAAACUAGGCCACCAGGGAGACGGUGGUUUUCUUCAGGAUUUGGAAGAGUGACACUUAGAGCAAUGAUUGGUGAAUUACAAUUCAUGGGCCAAAUCUGGCCCGCUGACUACUUCUGUAAAUAAAGUUUUGUUGGACCACAGGC
Long non-coding RNA from Equus caballus (horse), 3073 nucleotides. The record is from Ensembl. Lineage: Eukaryota; Metazoa; Chordata; Mammalia; Perissodactyla; Equidae.